CUUCACCUUCUAUCCUGGCCCAGCUCCUUCUUAUCAUGCUUCCUGAGCCAGUGCAGUGGUCAAUACGGAAAACCUUCCCUGACCCUCCUAGACUUGUAACCUCUGAUUCUCCACAGCACUCCCCCGCAUGCCUCUGCUACUAGACUUAUUUCACACUGAGUGUUACACAUUUAGGGAGCUGGAUGCUGGCCCUGUGUGUCUUGUGCAUGUGCUAUGCAUGGCCCAUGGCGUCCAAUCCAUUUUUGUUAUUCUGGGAGGUAACCCUUACCUUUGUUGCACUUUGCUCUUGUAAUAGGACUAAACAGGCUACCUUCAUUUCUACUCAAGCAGCAUUUAAUGAGAUUAGUCAACAAUGACAGGCGAUCCUCAUCCCCCACCAGGCCAAUUUUCCCUGGCAGGAUGGUGCUUGCCCACCUUGAUAGGUGGCAGGACAAUUACUGGGCGCCCUCUCGACCUGCUUCAAAGCUUCCUAUAACCUGGCAGUGAAUGAAAUGCACAACCUUCCAACUCAAUGACAUUUAAGGCAACCACUCAUUGGUUCAGGCAGCAAAAUAAAUUGGUACUCAGCUGCUCCCAGUCUAUUUUUCUGGUUGGAGCAAUAAAUAAAAGAAAUGAUUGUGCCACUGCACAUGUGACACCAGCCUGCCCCCUCCCCAAGCAAUCACAUUCUCUCACUCUCUCUCUGGCUUUGUUCUGGUCCCCUUUAGGAACAGAGUGUUAAGGAUUGUAUUUGGGUUGCCCAGGGCUGUGUGUCUACAUUUGAGUCCUACACACACAAAUAUAAUAAAUGAAUGUGUGUACAUUUGAAUUGCAUACCCACUCCUACUGAAUUUGUAGUGCAUUCAUAUGGAAAUAUUUUCUACUAAAUAUUAUAACUCCCCCAAUAUUCUUAUUUAGUCCCUUUUAUUCAAGGGACUAAGUUGCAUCACUCAAGGGUGACAUUUAAAUGACAGUUACUACAGUAACACAGAGUAAUGACCUUGUGAAGUGCCAUAUAUUGGUGUGCUUAUCCAGUAAUUUAUAUACCCCAUAAAUACCAGUUGUGAUGUCUGAAGAGAACUUAAAAAAGACAAGAAAUCUCUUUUCCCCACACAAAUGGUUGUGAAAUAUAACAUUUUUAGAAGCACGUUGGGGAUACUUUUUUACCCCAUAAUCUCCCCCACCCCCCAGAUUCCUUCCCUUCUAAGCAGUGAGUGUUGCAUCCCUCUGCCCCUCAAAUAUUAAAAAUAAAAACCAGAAGAUAGUCUUCUGCUCUCCCUCCCACCCCAAGGUCUUUACAAACACAAAGAGAAAAAAAAAGGAAUCUAUCAAAUCACAAGAUCCUUACCCUCUCUCAAACUAAAUCUGCUUUAAUCAGUAUGCUAGCACAUUCUGUCAAACUCCCCAACUUUUUAAGCAAUACAUUAUUCCUUCAGUUUCUGCCAAAGCUAAACCUUUGCCAGGCCCCACGGCUUUAUGAAGAGGCUGUUGCCAAGUUGACUUCUCUGUCUCAGUCAAGAGGCUGCUCCCCAGCUCUGCUCGAAAUUAAUAAGGCCAAUCAGAUAUGCACAAAGCCUGCGCAGCCAAUCAUUCUUCUCCAAGUAUUUGCCAUCUCCUCUGCGGUCAGAUAAAUCACGUUAAAGCUAUUACACCAAUGACCAUAAAUUAGGGGGCCUGGCGGUCAGUCCCUCCCGAGGACACAGCAGGCUAAGAUUAUUCCAGCGCAAGGGAGGGGAGGUGGGCCCGCGGGGUGGUGAGUUAUCUGUGGUUACAGAAUCCUGGGCCGGCGCGCAGGCUCCCGGAGGACCGUGUCUGGGCUGCGCCCAGCUGUGCACCAGCGCUCGGACGGAGAUGGCCCCAUCCCCUGGUGCGCGGACUCCAUCUGCGCCGCUCUGCCAGACUAUUUACAGCCGAGGUUCGGCCGGUGAUUGCUGGCAUGGAAAACUCAUUUCUCAGCCCGGCUUUUAUUUACACUCUUAUUAAGGAGCCUUCACUCACAUCGGAAUGGCAGCGAGUGGCUGCAGCGAGCCCUUGGCCCCCGGCCAGGCAGCCGAUCUUGGGGCGGGUGAGCCCCCGGGGCCGCCCUCGCCGGCGACCUUCCGCCCAGGGAGCGCAGUGAGCGCUGGCACAAAGGCACCAGAAACCAGGGCGCAGGAACCUGAGCGCAACACCCUGGAAAAAUUCAGUGGCCUGGUGGCUGAUUUCCCCUUGCGGUGUUGGCUGGUUCCCCGCCCCCUUGCCUGGCCAUGCUUCUUGCAAACGUGGACCGUGAGAAAAUGAAGGGUUGACAUGCUUUAACCCGCAUCCAAAAUCUUAGAUCAAGAUUCCACCCUCCCCCAGACCCCUCUCUACCCGCCCAAGCCUCUGCUGCUGGGUUGUAACCCAGCCUUCCAGGAGGGAUAGACUCCCAGUAAUGACUCCCAGGAGGGAAACUUCCUGGCUGUUCUUUCUGUUGGCACCGCAUAAAACCCAAGCAGGCCAGCGCAUGUGCGUGUGAGCCUGCAAGUCCGGAAAACCCGCCAGAAGCCUCUGCACAUCUGGGGCUCCUAACCAUGCAUAUUCAUGACUGAGAGCAGUAAAACCCAGGUCAGCUGCUUGAAGACAAUGAACUGUGUUCUUAAAGGCUAACCAAGCCCGAGAAUUGAAUAAAAAUAACAACCCCCCAGCCUCCUUUCUGAAUCCUGUGCAAAGCGUCUUAACACUUGAGACUAUUUUUUUUCCCCCUAAAAUGGACAAAGGAAACAGGGAGCAGUUUUGCAAGGGGUCAGUUUCUACAGUUUUCCUUAACUAUAGAAAUCUUGAUUCUACCUUUUCCUUAGUGUCCUCAGCCUCUGCAAGAGUAGGUAGUAUCUUCACAUCUUUUCUUCUGCACAUGGUCCCUCUUGGUUUAACUUGUUUCCUUUCUCUUCCUGUUACUCAUCCUGCCAUCUGAUGGCAUCACUCUUAGCCUUUCUUCCCAGAAAGGAUGGAUCUUCUGCCCUCCUGACGCUCAUUUCUAUCACUUCCAUGCUACUCCCACAGACCCCCCCCAUCCCCCAUUCCGGGUUUGCUGUUAUGGGCUGAAUUGUGUCCCCCAAAACUGAUUUGUUAAGACUUAAUCCUGCACUACUUAAGAAUAUGACUGUAUUUUGGAGAGAGAGCCUUUAAAGAGGUAAUUAAGGUAAAAUGAGGUUCAAUAUGACUGGUGUUCUUUUGAGAGGAAAUUCAGACAAAGAGACACCAAGAAUGCAUGCUCUCAGGCAAAAGACUGUGAAGACAACAAAAAAGGCCAAGCCAAGCCAAGGAGAGGCCAAACCUUUCCCUCAGGAUGGUUUUGGUCUGCACAGCAUUCUUUUUAUUAUGUUUAAGGUGAUCUUGUUUUUUGAUAAGAAACUAUUCACCAGUGAAAUUUCCAUGAGAUUUAUUCAUGCCCCUUCUGUUUUUCAGUUUUGCCCUGUGAUUUUAAUGUGCAGGCAGGGACUAGAAUCCCUGCAGUAAGAGGCAGGUAUUAACUAAUUAAAUGUUCAUGGCUACUGCAUUGUUGGAUUUAGGUUCCCUUAAGCUUAAAUUCUUUGGGUUUUGUUCUGCUAAAAAAUGUCAUCAUAUUAUUCUUAUUGCUGAGCCCAGAGGCAAAGGUCAAGUAGAUCAUGAAAAAUGCCCUGUUAGUAUGUGAAAUGGUUUUAUUAUUUCAGGUCAACUGAGAACAUAAAGAAAGAUGUCAAGAGCUGUGUAAUAUUGAUAACACUGCAGAAAACUACUCUCUAUCCCAGCACUUCAGGUUUUGUAAUAAAUGGUGCAGCUGGACACCAUGGUAAAAGAUUUACCUUUUACCAUUACUUUUAUUACAGGUCACUGCUCAAGAAUGUAGGAUCUGUUUUAAGCACACUUUCUUUCAAGAGGAAUUUCAAUAUAACUGUGUUCAGUUCUUACAGACCUUGGGUAUCUUCUCUUCUUCAGCUAUUAAUUGGCAAGUAUGGAGAGCUAAAGCUUACCUGCAGCUCACUUGUUACUGAAAAAUUGAUGGAAAGUUCAUGUAUCAUGGCUAAUACCCCGAAGGUAGGGCCUUAUAUUUGACUCUGGUACUCAAUUUCAUCCUGAAAAUAAGCCUUGCCAAUAUAAACCUUUGUAAUAAGUGCUAAGGAGAUGCUGGCAUAGAGCUCCAGCUGAAUAAGAGUCAAACUAGAGUGAGAGGAAAAUAAAAUGCCUGUGGCAGAAAUAUAUUUUAUAGAUGUUGUUGGUGGGUCAGAUGAUAUUGCUUGAUUAGUACAAAGUUCAAAGUUCAGGGAUAGAGAUUGAUGUGAAAGGGCUUUGUUAAAUAUGCUAUCUAACAUAGGCUGAAUGGACACAAAAACAAGACCUACAUAUUUGCUGUUUAUAAGAGACCCACUUCAGAUCAAGAGACACAUACAGGAGUUCAUGGCGCAGUGGUUAACGAAUCCAACUAGGAACCAUGGCGCAGUGGUUAACGAAUCCAACUAGGAACCAUGAGGUUUCGGGUUCGGUCCCUGCCCUCGCUCAGUGGGUUAACGAUCCGGCGUUGCCAUGAGCUGUGGUGUAGGUCGCAGACGCAGCUCGGAUCCCGAGUUGCUGUGGCUCUGGCAUAGGCUGUCAGCAACAGCUCCAAUUCGACCCCUAGCCUGGGAACCUCCAUAUGCCACGAGAGCGGCCCGAGAAAUGG
This 4636-nucleotide long non-coding RNA is filed under the name Sus scrofa (pig). RNAcentral describes it as "lncRNA (ENSSSCG00005032872.1)". Lineage: Eukaryota; Metazoa; Chordata; Mammalia; Artiodactyla; Suidae. The record is from RNAcentral.